GGGGAUGUAGCUCAGUUGAUAGAGUACAUGCCUUGCAUGCACAAGGCCCUGGGUUCAAUCCCCAGCACCA
Molecule: transfer RNA, 70 nt
Filed under: Ictidomys tridecemlineatus (thirteen-lined ground squirrel)
Lineage: Eukaryota; Metazoa; Chordata; Mammalia; Rodentia; Sciuridae
Description: Spermophilus tridecemlineatus (thirteen-lined ground squirrel) tRNA
Rfam family: tRNA
About the family: Transfer RNA (tRNA) molecules are approximately 80 nucleotides in length. Their secondary structure includes four short double-helical elements and three loops (D, anti-codon, and T loops). Further hydrogen bonds mediate the characteristic L-shaped molecular structure. tRNAs have two regions of fundamental functional importance: the anti-codon, which is responsible for specific mRNA codon recognition, and the 3' end, to which the tRNAs corresponding amino acid is attached (by aminoacyl-tRNA synthetases). tRNAs cope with the degeneracy of the genetic code in two manners: having more than one tRNA (with a specific anti-codon) for a particular amino acid; and 'wobble' base-pairing, i.e. permitting non-standard base-pairing at the 3rd anti-codon position.
Source: Rfam by way of RNAcentral